This 466-nucleotide ribosomal RNA is filed under the name Vreelandella stevensii. Its description in RNAcentral is "partial 16S ribosomal RNA". It matches the Rfam family "Bacterial small subunit ribosomal RNA", at positions 338 to 795 of the family's 1533-position model. The record is from RNAcentral. Lineage: Bacteria; Pseudomonadati; Pseudomonadota; Gammaproteobacteria; Oceanospirillales; Halomonadaceae.
CCUACGGGUGGCUGCAGUGGGGAAUAUUGGACAAUGGGGGGGAACCCUGAUCCAGCCAUGCCUCGUGUGUGAAGAAGGCCCUCGGGUUGUAAAGCACUUUCAGUGAGGAAGAACGCCUGGUGGUUAAUACCCAUCAGGAAAGACAUCACUCACAGAAGAAGCACCGGCUAACUCCGUGCCAGCAGCCGCGGUAAUACGGAGGGUGCGAGCGUUAAUCGGAAUUACUGGGCGUAAAGCGCGCGUAGGUGGCUUGAUAAGCCGGUUGUGAAAGCCCCGGGCUCAACCUGGGAACGGCAUCCGGAACUGUCAAGCUAGAGUGCAGGAGAGGAAGGUAGAAUUCCCGGUGUAGCGGUGAAAUGCGUAGAGAUCGGGAGGAAUACCAGUGGCGAAGGCGGUCUUCUGGACUGACACUGACACUGAGGUGCGAAAGCGUGGGUAGCAAACAGGAUUAGAUACCCCGGUAGUC